CGCCCACUUCGCCAUUUUCCUCCGGAAGUGCGGAUCCCAGCGGCGGUCGUGUAGCUGAGCAGGCCUGGGGCUUGGUUCUAUGUCCCUGUAGCUAUGUUUCCAGUGUCCUCUGGGUGUUUCCAAGAGCAACAAGAAACGAAUAAAUCUCUGCCCCGCAGCGCCUCCACCCCAGAGACCCGGACCAAGUUCACACAGGACAAUCUGUGCCACGCCCAGCGCGAGCGCCUGGACUCGGCCAACCUGUGGGUGCUGGUGGACUGCAUCCUUCGCGACACCUCCGAGGACCUGGGACUCCAGUGUGACGCCGUGAACCUGGCCUUCGGGCGCCGCUGUGAGGAACUGGAGGACGCGCGGCACAAGCUGCAGCACCACCUGCACAAGAUGCUGCGGGAAAUCACAGAUCAGGAACACAACGUGGUGGCACUGAAGGAGGCCAUCAAGGACAAGGAGGAACCUCUGCACAUAGCCCAGACCCGGCUGUAGUUGCUCUCACACCGGCCCAACAUGCAGCUGUGCCGCGAUGCAGCCCAGUUCAGCCCCAGCUCACACCCCCCAACACCCCCAAGCUGGUGAGUGAGGUGGAGGAGCUGUACAAGUCCAUCACAGCGCUGCGGGAGAAGCUUCUACAAGCGGAGCAGUCCCUGCGCAACCUCAAGGACAUCCACAUGAGCCUGGAGAAGGACGUCACUGCCAUGACCAACAGUCUCUUCAUCGACCGCCAGAAGUGCAUGGCCCAUCGUACUUGCUACCCCACCAUUCUGCAGCUGGCUGGCUACCAGUGAGCAGCGGCACGGUGCUUCCCCCCAAUCCCCCAAAUAAACAGUGCGUUAGCUUUCUGCACAGUGUGUGU
Homo sapiens (human) is the source of this 850-nucleotide long non-coding RNA. Ensembl annotates it as tektin 4 pseudogene 2. Its record names the gene TEKT4P2. Lineage: Eukaryota; Metazoa; Chordata; Mammalia; Primates; Hominidae. The record is from Ensembl.